AUACUUACCUGGCAGGGGAAAUAACCACGACCAUGAAGAUGGUUUUCUCAGGGUAAGGCUUCAUCUAUUGCACUCCCAGAUGUGUUGACCCCUGAGAUUUCCCAAAAUGCAGGAAACUCAGCUGCAUAAUUUGUGAUAGUAGAGGGCUACAUUCGUACUCUUCCC
This is a small nuclear RNA of Mesocricetus auratus (golden hamster), 165 nucleotides long. Its record names the gene U1. It matches the Rfam family "U1 spliceosomal RNA". Rfam says of the family: U1 is a small nuclear RNA (snRNA) component of the spliceosome (involved in pre-mRNA splicing). Its 5' end forms complementary base pairs with the 5' splice junction, thus defining the 5' donor site of an intron. Lineage: Eukaryota; Metazoa; Chordata; Mammalia; Rodentia; Cricetidae. The record is from Ensembl.